This is a non-coding RNA of Dama dama (fallow deer), 515 nucleotides long. The record is from the annotation of a RefSeq genome assembly. NCBI's taxonomy places the organism in Eukaryota, Metazoa, Chordata, Mammalia, Artiodactyla, Cervidae.
AGCCCCUCUCCCCUCUCAUCCACACUCAGACCAGAGGGCCCUCUGCCUGCCCCGCCCCCACCAUGAGCCCCUGCCUCCUGGGCUGUGUGGUCCUCUGUCUCCUGCAGGCAGGGGUGGUCCACGCUGGUGUCACUCAAGACCCCAGAUUCCAGGUCGUGAGGACAGGACAGAGGACAACACUGAAAUGUACUCAGGAUAUGUACCACGACAGUAUGUACUGGUACCGACAAGACCUGGGACACGGGCUGAGGCUGAUUCAUUAUUCAUCUGCCACUGACACCACUUACCAAGGAGAUGUGCCCGAAGGCUACAGUGUCUCCAGAUCAAGGGCAGAGAACUUCCCUCUCACGCUGGAGUCCGCCAACCCCUCCCAGACGUCUGUGUACUUCUGCGCCAGCAGUUACUCCACAGCGCUGCAGGGUCACCUCCUCUCUGUGCAAAAUGACAGGGGAGGCCCUUGUAGGCUCCUAGGACUGGGAGCCUCUGGGCUUUGCUGCCACGUGCCUGCAGUGUGA